RNAcentral lists this transfer RNA (104 nucleotides) under Pseudozyma flocculosa. Its description in RNAcentral is "Anthracocystis flocculosa transfer RNA-Pseudo(AGG)". Lineage: Eukaryota; Fungi; Basidiomycota; Ustilaginomycetes; Ustilaginales; Ustilaginaceae. The record is from RNAcentral.
GGUCCAAUCGUAUAGUGGCUUAUUAUGCUGUCUUAGGGCUUAAACACGGAAUCGAACCGUGAGCUGUAUGACAGAGGUCCCCGGUUCGAUUCCGGGUUGGACCC